Molecule: transfer RNA, 72 nt
Filed under: bacterium
Lineage: Bacteria
Also listed under: 2 other names
Description: tRNA-Thr
Rfam family: tRNA
About the family: Transfer RNA (tRNA) molecules are approximately 80 nucleotides in length.
Source: RNAcentral
GCCUACGUAGCUCAGUGGUAGAGCACUUCCUUGGUAAGGAAGAGGUCGCCGGUUCAAUUCCGGCCGUAGGCU